This 482-nucleotide ribosomal RNA is filed under the name uncultured bacterium. Its description in RNAcentral is "bacterial SSU rRNA". It matches the Rfam family "Bacterial small subunit ribosomal RNA", at positions 28 to 517 of the family's 1533-position model. The record is from RNAcentral.
GAUAAACGCUGGCGGCGCACAUAAGACAUGCAAGUCGAACGGACUUAACUCAUUCUUUACGAUUGAGAGCGGUUAGUGGCGGACUGGUGAGUAACACGUAAGCAACCUGCCUAUUAGAGGGGAAUAACAGUGAGAAAUCAUUGCUAAUACCGCAUAUGCUCACAGCAACACAUGUUGCAGUGAGGAAAGGAGUAAUCCGCUAAUAGAUGGGCUUGCGUCUGAUUAGCUAGUUGGUGGGGUAACGGCCUACCAAGGCGACGAUCAGUAGCCGGACUGAGAGGUUGAACGGCCACAUUGGGACUGAGAUACGGCCCAGACUCCUACGGGAGGCAGCAGUCGGGAAUAUUGCGCAAUGGAGGAAACUCUGACGCAGUGACGCCGCGUAUAGGAAGAAGGUUUUCGGAUUGUAAACUAUUGUCAUUAGGGAAGAUAAAAGACUGUACCUAAAGAGGAAGCACCGGCUAACUAUGUGCCAGCAGCCG